Long non-coding RNA from Uranotaenia lowii, 1053 nucleotides. RefSeq lists it as uncharacterized. The transcript has 5 exons. NCBI's taxonomy places the organism in Eukaryota, Metazoa, Arthropoda, Insecta, Diptera, Culicidae. The record is from RefSeq and is a predicted model, not a curated record.
AUAUCUACGCGGUUGCUUUUCGUAAAGAGAAUGACAUCGUGGCGGUUUCGGGAGACUGCAGGUUGUCAUUUCCCCAACCUGCAGCGGCAAAACAUGUGCAGUAAAAAACAUCAGGUGCCACGAUUCCAUGUCGGAGAAGGUUGUCCGGUUUUCAAUAGCCUGUACGGACUAUCGACCGAUGGUUCAAUGGCACUGGCUGCUUGCACUGGCAGCAGGUCUUCAAAACUGUAAACUAGGCAGAAUAGAAUGCGUUGAGUUCCUGCCCCCGACUUUUUUACACGGGUAUAGAUGUGCACCGUCUUCUAACCGGUGAUUAAGUUGCAGUGUGGAGCCAUUCUAUCGCGGCCAAAGAUCGGAAAAAACAAGAUCAUCUCUGGACUUAAUUUUGGGACACAGCUAUUCACUUUUUGCAGUGCUCGUAGCUGUUAUGAACUCUCCACUUGACUUUCCCUAGUAAAAUAUCACUGAUUAUGAAAGGCGGAACUUCUCAAUGAAGACAGGCUUCCCACGGUUCCCCGCCUUCCCCAUCAAUAAUUAAAGGCUGAAGCAACAAGCAAGGUUUCAAGCAACUGCUUUCAGGCUACCGAAUUGCAUUAAAAGAACGCAGUGCAGAAUUUAAUUGAAUGCCGAACGAUAGUCUAAAGUUAUCCGGAGGGACGCAACGUUUCAAUUCUUUGAAUUGUGAUUCGUUAACCUGGUUUUUAGGCUAAAACCACUGAAUGUAUAUUUAGCAACUUUCAACGAAGGAGCUAAACUCAACAGAGUGACUCAUUCGUUAACAGCAAAAAUGAUUUUCCACGUCAUCAAUUGAUUUAAAGAAAAAAAGCAGAAAAAAGACUGUGCAACUCAAAUAUGUAGUUUUUUUUUUCAUUUUGAACUUCUGGAUUGGUUGAAAACUAUAUAAUCUCGCAAUCGAGAACACAUCUAGAUUCAACAGAUUCUGCCCUGACUUAAGCGACACAUUAGUAUGAUGAAAACUCCUGAUGUAAUCAUAAAAAUUCCAUACAGUAAAUUAUUUUAAUGUUUGUAUAGAAAAUAGUUAAAUUUUUGUAG